This 230-nucleotide ribosomal RNA is filed under the name uncultured fungus. RNAcentral describes it as "partial small subunit ribosomal RNA". The stretch from base 103 to 230 matches the Rfam family "Eukaryotic small subunit ribosomal RNA", at positions 736 to 864 of the family's 1831-position model. Lineage: Eukaryota; Fungi. The record is from RNAcentral.
AGGGUCAUCUGGCCGGGCCGGCUUGGCUUGUCUGAGCUGGUAUUCCGGAUCCAGGGGCCCUAUACCUUUCUGGGGAACUAGUCUGCCCUUUACUGGGUAGGCUAGGGAGCCAGGACUUUUACCUUGAAAAAAUCAGAGUGUUCAAAGCAGGCAUUAUUGCUCGAAUGCAUUAGCAUGGAAUAAUAAAAUAGGACCUAGGUUCUAUUUUGUUGGUUUAUAGGACCAAGGUA